This is a long non-coding RNA of Girardinichthys multiradiatus, 1002 nucleotides long. RefSeq lists it as uncharacterized. Lineage: Eukaryota; Metazoa; Chordata; Actinopteri; Cyprinodontiformes; Goodeidae. The record is from RefSeq and is a predicted model, not a curated record. The transcript has 6 exons.
GGUUUCGUUCUUAUAUUUCACUGUAUAAACUACAAAAACAUUCGUUUCUAUUAUACAUUCGCCAUUUUACACUGAGACUGCACGGUCGACGUGUGACAUCUCUUCGAUAAAAGCUUGUUUUUGCAGCUGUAUUUUUUCAGCAUUCUUUUGACUUCCAGCCAAUACCAUGGGAAAAGCAAAGCAAACUGUCCCCCCUGAGCAAAGAAGAACUUCCCCACGACUGGCACUGAAACCGAAGGCAGCCUCAGUGGAGACUAAGAAAAAAGCUGCUCCAAAGAAGGCACCCAAAGCAAAGAAGGCCAAGCCAGCUGAGAAUGGCAACACCAAGGCUGAGGAGCCAAAGGCUGAAGCCACCGAAGCCAAAUAAAUAAUGGUUGAAGAUGUGCUCACUCUGUGUACUUGGUGAUUGUACAGUUUUAAAUAAGUAUUUUUUACCAAGUUUUAUAUUACAAAUAUGUCAUUUAUAGGUUUGUUCUGGGCUUGCACUCGGUGUAACAAGAUUUUGUUUUCACAUUCAUAUCCUUUUUUUUUUUUUAAUCAACUUUUAAACAAUUACCGUCCAUAUCUUGUAGGCGUGGCAUUUUAGUUUGUCUAAUCCGUUUUGUUUUUUGAAACUGCUGAUGAAUAGAUACUUUAAAGUCGGGUUAUGAAUCUAAUUUUAAACAUAAGGCAGCUAAAAUGUAGUAAAAACUUACAGGAGAAUAGGAACUUUGCCUUUUAUCUCCCUGUAUUUUAAUGUUUGACUAAUAAAACAGUUGCUUACCAAAAGAAUUCAAGUGAUGUAUGUCAACGUAAGAUCUAGUCAGUUAUAAUGCCACAUAAAUUUAGUGUUAUUAGGUCAAACGUUUGGUAGAUCCCCAAAACACGUACCAUGUAAAUCUGGUCUUCUGAUUGGGAAAAAAAAGUUAAGUUAUGUUUUUGUAAGGGGAAGUGGAUUUUUCUUUUUUUUUUCUGACUUCAGUGCUCGAUCUAAAUGUUCUUGAAUAAAAAAACUUUAAAAUG